Molecule: ribosomal RNA, 1163 nt
Filed under: Rothia mucilaginosa
Lineage: Bacteria; Bacillati; Actinomycetota; Actinomycetes; Micrococcales; Micrococcaceae
Description: bacterial SSU rRNA
Rfam family: Bacterial small subunit ribosomal RNA
Source: RNAcentral
ACCAAGGCGACGACGGGUAGCCGGCCUGAGAGGGUGACCGGCCACACUGGGACUGAGACACGGCCCAGACUCCUACGGGAGGCAGCAGUGGGGAAUAUUGCACAAUGGGCGCAAGCCUGAUGCAGCGACGCCGCGUGAGGGAUGACGGCCUUCGGGUUGUAAACCUCUGUUAGCAGGGAAGAAGAGAAAUUGACGGUACCUGCAGAGAAAGCGCCGGCUAACUACGUGCCAGCAGCCGCGGUAAUACGUAGGGCGCGAGCGUUGUCCGGAAUUAUUGGGCGUAAAGAGCUUGUAGGCGGUUUGUCGCGUCUGCUGUGAAAGGCCGGGGCUUAACCCCGUGUAUUGCAGUGGGUACGGGCAGACUAGAGUGCAGUAGGGGAGACUGGAAUUCCUGGUGUAGCGGUGGAAUGCGCAGAUAUCAGGAGGAACACCGAUGGCGAAGGCAGGUCUCUGGGCUGUAACUGACGCUGAGAAGCGAAAGCAUGGGGAGCGAACAGGAUUAGAUACCCUGGUAGUCCAUGCCGUAAACGUUGGGCACUAGGUGUGGGGGACAUUCCACGUUUUCCGCGCCGUAGCUAACGCAUUAAGUGCCCCGCCUGGGGAGUACGGCCGCAAGGCUAAAACUCAAAGAAAUUGACGGGGGCCCGCACAAGCGGCGGAGCAUGCGGAUUAAUUCGAUGCAACGCGAAGAACCUUACCAAGGCUUGACAUAUACUGGACCGCAUCAGAGAUGGUGUUUCCCUUCGGGGCUGGUAUACAGGUGGUGCAUGGUUGUCGUCAGCUCGUGUCGUGAGAUGUUGGGUUAAGUCCCGCAACGAGCGCAACCCUCGUUCUAUGUUGCCAGCACGUUAUGGUGGGGACUCAUAGGAGACUGCCGGGGUCAACUCGGAGGAAGGUGGGGAUGACGUCAAAUCAUCAUGCCCCUUAUGUCUUGGGCUUCACGCAUGCUACAAUGGCCGGUACAGAGGGUUGCGAUACUGUGAGGUGGAGCUAAUCCCUAAAAGCCGGUCUCAGUUCGGAUUGGGGUCUGCAACUCGACCCCAUGAAGUCGGAGUCGCUAGUAAUCGCAGAUCAGCAACGCUGCGGUGAAUACGUUCCCGGGCCUUGUACACACCGCCCGUCAAGUCACGAAAGUUGGUAACACCCAAAGCCGGUGGCCUAAC